UGCUAGAGUGCUUCAUGUAACAGAGAGUAGCCAGAUGCAUUAUAGGCCAUGAAUCUGUGAGCAGAUGACCACACUCUGUGGGCAAAGACCUAAGAUCUGCAAGUGCGACCCCCAGGGGCUCUGUACAUGAGUACAGCAUUCUGUGCAUCUCGGUACCAGCUGUGAGAUAUGAGGAAGAAGAGGAAACACCUGCCGUGCUAGAGCUGCCAUGGGCUCAAUGCCUUUCGAAGCCUCUCAGGACUCCCUGGACCCUGGUGUAAACCUUCCUGGAGGAAUUGCUUCACGGAAGUAUGAAUAUCUUAAAUUGGGUGACCCAGAUUACAGGGCUCUGAGAUUAGGGAAGUGAUGCACUUUGCCAGGAAGAAGAACAAAACCUACCAGUACCUCGUUUGAGUAAUUGGUAUCACCUUCAUUCCGAAACACUUUUACUAGGCUACACCUUUAAUUGGGAGUUUUUAUUACAUUCAGGUAAAUUAGAAUGAUCAGGCAUGCCUGAAACCUUUUCUCUUCUCUGUAUCACCUCCUUAGUUUCUGCUAUUGAAAGUAUUUUAAUACCUAUCUCUGUAAGAUGUACCCUCUGAGGAUUCUGAUGAGAGAAAAUAUGACAGACUCUUAGGACUGUGAAUUGGUGGGACUGUGAACUGAGGAUGUCGUUCCUAGCUGCUAGAUUUGAUCAGCACAUGGAGAGUAUGGAAAUUAGAAUUUUGAUGGAAGAUGGCUUAGGGGCGGGGGGAUGGAACAAGCUACCAUUCUAAUAAUGUUUUAUUACCUAUUGCUGUAAUUGAAAGCUUGAUUUGGGAAUUUGUAAUUGAAUUUGGGAGCACUGAAAAUUUAGAAAGAGGGCAGAAUGGAGAAAAGCUCGGGGAAGCCAGAGGGACAUCAGCAUAGUACAAACCUAGGUAGGGGAUGAAGAGGGACAGAACCAGAAAGUAAGAAGAUUGUGGAGGUAGAAAGAUACCAAAAAGAAAC
Molecule: long non-coding RNA, 969 nt
Filed under: Ursus maritimus (polar bear)
Lineage: Eukaryota; Metazoa; Chordata; Mammalia; Carnivora; Ursidae
Description: lncRNA (ENSUMAG00000015464.1)
Source: RNAcentral